GGAAGUAAAAGUCGUAACAAGGUUUCCGUAGGUGAACCUGCGGAAGGAUCAUUCACAAUUAAUACGAUCACCAUGUGAACCCGCCAACAGUCUAGCUGUUGGCCAUUUCACACACUAGUCUGUUCAGGUGUGUGGCUACUUCGGUAGUUUCAGACAACUUGUGGUGGUUUAAAUGUCGAGAUAUUCCUAAGCUCUAUACACUAUUAGCGGUGGAUGUCUUGGCUCCCACAACGAUGAAGGCCGCAGCAAAAUGCGAAACGCAUUGUGAUUUGCGGAAUUCUGUGAAUCAAUAGGUCGCUGAACGCAAACGGCACUACUCUCUGAGUAGUAGUAGGUCUGUUUCAGUCUCAAUUGCAAUCUCACCAAACAAUUUGUAUUAAGGUACAAGUUGCUAUUGGUGAGGUAAUGUGCUGCUCGAUACGUCUGGCAGUCGCAGUGUUCUAUAACUGUUCCUAAGUUAACAUAUUGGUUUCAACUAUGUUGCUAUGGGACUAUAACGUUAUAGCGUACUAAACUACAUGAGCUGAAAUCAGACCAGGCUACCCGCUGGACUUAAGCAUAUUAGUCAGCGGAGGAAAGGGCGAUCC
This 587-nucleotide ribosomal RNA is filed under the name uncultured fungus. RNAcentral describes it as "eukaryotic LSU rRNA". The stretch from base 199 to 350 matches the Rfam family "5.8S ribosomal RNA". Lineage: Eukaryota; Fungi. The record is from RNAcentral.